RNAcentral lists this non-coding RNA (207 nucleotides) under Candidatus Scatomorpha stercoravium. Its description in RNAcentral is "6S RNA". It matches the Rfam family "6S / SsrS RNA". From Rfam's summary of the family: E. coli 6S RNA was the first non coding RNA to be sequenced, but its function was unknown until recently. The record is from RNAcentral. Lineage: Bacteria; Bacillati; Bacillota; Clostridia; Eubacteriales.
AUAAUCCUGCCCUGUGCGUGGAUUCGUUUGGGCCCAUAUAAACCCACAUUUUUCAUAAGGGACGCCGUAUUCCUGCGUGGAUUGCAGGCCUCCCGGCCCCCUACGAGGUGCGUUGGAAGUUGGAAGCGAGGUAGCACAGGAGAGGCGACCCACCUGCCGGAGACGUGCAGGUUCUAUCUGGGCCCCCACGGCAGAGGCGGGAGAGGC